GGAUAAAGUACUUGAGGUGUAAUUUUGUAUAGAUAGUGUGCAAAUAAUGCCUAUUUCAGAAAAGAAUAUCUUUUAAACCCUAGAAGAUGUACAAAAACUUAAUACAUAAUUCAAGUGAACAUGGAAGGCUUAAUAAAAAUUUACUUUAAUAUUUUUGUGCAAACGAAGUAUUGAAAAGAUACAAGGUAUUUAAAAUCUAGAAUUUGUCAAGAUUCUUCAAAUGAGUUAUCUCCCUUUGCAAUUUUACAUAGGUGGCGCUAGUAAAAAAAAUGGCAGCUUCCAUGGUUAGCUGUACGCUGCAAAGUUAUUUUGAUGCAUCCUGUGAUGUUUAUUGCAAAAAUAUGUGUGAAUUGACAUAAAUUGGUUGAAAGGAUUCUACAAGAACAGAUUAGGCAUAGUUUUCGGGCAAAAAUAUAGCUAUAUCUCGUGUUGAUUAGUAUAUUGACCUUGUUGACGUUCUAUCGAAAUGGUACUCGCCUACUGACACCGUUGUGAUCUAUCUCAGAAGUUUCAAUUCUACGGUAAUCCACCAGAGUCCAAGAGUAAACUCUCAGAGAGGGAUGGCAGUCCGAUUUUGUCUGCUUACUCGACUUGGAGAGGGAAGAUAAUUUACAUUUGGACAGUUACAUUUGACCAGAAUGUAUGCAAUGGGCUGCAUCAUGGUUUUGAAGGAAAAGGUUACACUAUUUAUUACAGACAGCAAGAAAACAUCAUUGAACACCACCAACUAAUAAGACUCCAAAGGAAUAAUGGAAAAUAAGAUAUUUAAAGCUGUCAAAAAGCAGAGAUUAGACUUCGGUGGAUUCCAUGACGGUACUUUGGAUAAUGUUAAUCAGACAGCAAUUCUUUUCCCAAGGAUCUUAAGUGCUUU
Molecule: long non-coding RNA, 871 nt
Organism: Saccostrea cuccullata (small rock oyster)
Lineage: Eukaryota; Metazoa; Mollusca; Bivalvia; Ostreida; Ostreidae
Exons: 3
Source: RefSeq, a predicted model, not a curated record